Molecule: ribosomal RNA, 251 nt
Filed under: uncultured prokaryote
Description: partial 16S rRNA
Rfam family: Bacterial small subunit ribosomal RNA
Source: RNAcentral
ACGGAGGUUCCAAGCGUUGUUCGGAAUUACUGGGCGUAAAGGGAGCGCAGGUGGGCGGUCCAGUCCAAAGUGGAAGCCCGGGGCUUAACCCCGGAAGUGCUUUGGAUACUAGCCGUCUUGAGUACGCGAGAGGAAGGCGGAAUUCAGGGUGUAGCGGUGAAAUGCUUAGAUAUCCUGAGGAACACCGGUGGCGAAAGCGGCCUUCUGGCGCGAAACUGACACUGAGGCUCGAAAGCGUGGGGAGCAAACGG